AUUUUUCUCAGGUGCUUUUGGACUUGAUAGGGGAUAUUUGGGAAAGUCCCUGAAAGAUCUCGUGAAGAACUCAGAAUACAAUUUAAGUAAUUGCUCAUUAAGUAGUUCUGAGAACCCAUAUGCUACUAUAAAAGACCCACCAGCUCUUGUACCAAAAAGUUCAGAAUGCGGAUAUGUUGAAAUGAAGUCACCAGCGCGCAGGGACUCCCCAUAUGCUGAGAUUGCUGGCUCUGCUUCAGCCAAUAAGAAUGUUUAUGAAGUUGAACCUACUGUGAGCGUUGUCCAGGGAGCAUUCAGCAGCAGCGGACGUUUCAGCCAGGACCCGUAUGAUCUUCCAAAAAACAGCCAUAUUCCGUGUCAUUAUGACUUGCUACCAGUUCGAGAUAGCCCCACAUCCUCUACGAAGGAGAUCAGCAGUGAAUGACCCCAAAAGCUGAUGUGGGAGCACAGUGGGACUUCCAAGGGGCAAAGUGGCAUGGUUGUGCUCCUUCCUCUAGUUUACCAUCAUGUUUGGCUCCUAAUCUGUCCAGCAGACAAUUGCUGUACAUUAAACAGAAUCUCAACAUGAGGUUUGUAUUCUGUAUAAAAGUGACAGAUGGACAAAUGCCACACUCUGGGGAUCCUGAUCAUUCUUUUUUUCAUGGCAGUAAAUUUUAUAGAAACAGGUAUGCAACACAUUUAUACUGUAAUAUACUGGCUUAAAAAUAUUAGUUUGCAGAUCAGUUUUGAUAACAUCCCAUUUCAGCGACUUUCAAUAUAGACUUCACAUUUGUCAUGUUUCAGAGUAGAAAUACUCCCAGGACAGUGCAAUUUACCAAAUACCACUUCAUACAGGUGAUCUGAUUUGCUAGUUAUGUAGAAGAUAAACUGUCUUGCCAAAUUUUACCUUCCAUUCUGAUCUUUAGUCAAGACAUAUUAAGCAACAAGAUCUGAUGGGGAUAAAUAAGAACAAUACUGCAGUUUUGAAAAUCCAUCAUCAGGCUUCUUUUGUCCAUUAUUUGUGGUGGGCAAACCUUGCUUGAAUAGUUUUGGAGAUAAAAGCAUUGCAUACAUCAAUAUUAUAUGAUGCCUCAAGAUCUCUUGGUACUUCAGACCCAGCACCAGUCUGCAACAAGUCCUUUGCUACCGUUCAGCUGCAUAUGUUGCAAUACUGACCACUAUUUAUGCCAUACACAACUAAUAAUCCAUAACAUAUCAAUAAUUACUUCAUAAAAUAUGUAAAUUAAAUCAGUUUAUUUUUGUCACCAUGGACUGGUUAUGUAAGGAGUGGACAAAGGUGAUGACUGCUGUAAAUCUUAACUUCAAGGAAAGGUUUACAUUUUAUAAACAGGUAGUAAUAAUGACUGUAAUAUAGAAUAAAAUAGUAAAGUGUUCUGAUGGGUUUUUUUUCUUAGAAAUAACUAAGCAAUCUCUGUGCAUACUUGCUAAAAAUGCACCUUUUCUUUUCUAUAGUUGAUGUAGAAAAACACAUGCUUAAGCUGGUCUUUUGCAUUGCUAAUAUUGUGACACAUGUACCCCCCAUUCUUCAUUAACUUGUGUCUCCAUUUUUAUGCUGCGUGUCUGUGUUUCUAGUGAUCUAGCUUGUAAUUGCAAAAAUAUUCUACUGUGUAUCCAUUUGUUCUGCAUUUUUGCCAACUGGCCUUUAUUUUGUCUGGUUAAAGGGACCUCUGGGCAGAAGGAGAGGAUUAAAGAAAGAAUUCAUGUCAUACCAAUGUCUAUCAAACAGAGUGGGUUAGCUAAUACAGAAUAGUUGAAUUUAAUUAAUUACUUGGGGAAAAAAAUCAAGGUGUUUUUGUUGAGGAUAAUAAUAAGAAUGCAGAACAAAAGUAAAAACCAGUCCCUCUUUAAAAUUUAGCUUACUCUAUUGACGAUAUGGAUGGAGACCAUCUUUUCAAAAGACUUCUUUCUCUCCCUCCAAACAAAAUAGUCUGUUAUGAACGGUGCAGUCCCGUGGAAAUUAAAUUUGCCAAAGUACCCAUCCAUUGAAGGAAAAUUGUCCCCCAAGGAAGUCAACCUGAAAAAAAAAAUGGUUGAUACAGACUGGACAUUCUCUUCCAGUGGAAAGUCAGCUUUAUAAGCCUAAAAGUGAUGUGGCAGUACUACUUUCAGCUGCGGCUGCUGUCAGUGAUGCUGCUUGCUAACAUGCUUGUAACAGAACCCACGCAGGCUUUUCCACUCUGCCUGGCGGUAGCUCCACAGCUGGUUCUGAAUAGCUUGUUGCAAGGGCUGGUAUAUUCCUGAUUGAGGUGGAAAAGAUACAGGCAGUUACGAUGAGUAGCAUAUAAUGGGAAGCACUAGUCCUUUCUUCUUUCUCUGUGGGGUUCACAUUUUGGCACAUGAGGCCUGUGAUACACUGUAAGGAUGGGAUGGGCAGUUGAUAGGUCAAGAGUUUGGUGUAUGUACUUUCUGGCUUACCACAGGGAGUGCCACAACCAUUUAUAUCUGUACAUAUGGACUGCAAUACAGUCCGAGACAAAGAAUUAUCGCUGUUGUGACAGCAUUGAUAGAUUUUCCUAAGAAAAUCACAGCCGGUUGCCUUUGGAAUACCAAAUGCAGCAGAGGAUCAACUGGAAGAAAAACUGAACAAAACUUCUAGAGAGUUUUUUUAAAAGGAACCCCAGAGCUGAAAUGGAAAUACAAUUUGAUUUGUUGUCACUGAAGUGGUGAUAAAUGAGAGAUCUGCAUCCAAAGACAUCGUUGUGGAUGUGCCUAAGCCUGAGAAGGUAUAUGCCUUUAUGAAGUGCCCCGUAGUCUUGGUUCUCACUGGCCAUGGGUGCUGGCAGUUUUCCAAUACCCUGGGCAUUUCCUGUAUAUCCUUGGAAUAAUUAAUUUGAUCGUCUUUGGAUUUUGCAAGUACAGAAAUUAACUACAGGAUUUCAAAAGCCAGUUACCAUUUAAUCCCUCCAUAAGACAAAGUAUUGAUUUGGUUUGUGUGCGAAUAGAUAACAUGUAGAGCUACUGGUAUAUACAUGUGUUUUGUACUGUGUGAAACAGACUUUGAAAUAAAACCUUUCUUCUCUGAAGCCAUGAAUAGCAAAUGCUGUAUUUAGCAAUUGUGAGCUCACAAAAAUUUAUUUUCUUACUGUGUGUAAAAUUUGGACACCACUAGGUAAAUUAAUCUUCAUGAUAUAAACAAUUCUUUUUUAUGCAAAAAAGUGAAGAGCUGAAUAUAAUUGGUUGAAAAUUUCCAGUAUGUCACAUAUCCUCAAGUGAUACAAUCAGCCAAAUACUCAUGAAAAAAGAUGAGUUUCUGAUAAUUUUGCCUAUUGUGUAUGUUCUAAAUAUACGCAUUACCAAAGUCUUUCUUUCUACGUGUGGGUAAAACUUCUGUGUAGUCAGCAUAAGCAAUGUCUGCAUAUAUCUGAGCCGGAUUUGCAUUACAUAUAGGUCAAGUAAAUGACUUGUAAAUUUACUUCAGUGAGUGAUCAUUGAUAGACACUCAGAAAACAGAUUGCCUGCAGGGGUAUUCUUGUUAAACGAUAGCUGUGUAUCAUUCCAGAGGAAAAAGGCUCAUGGGACUUGCAAUCCUGCUGUCUCCUGCCUGGCUAGGGAGGCUUGCUGUGGAGUACACGCUGCUGUCAAUUUAAAAGACCCCCAACUUGAUCCUCAUGAGUGUCACACUGCCUUUCUGUAGAUCCCAGCGUGCUCUUUAGAGAACUUCAAUUUCAGAACAUGCAUACAUAUUGUGAUGGGGACUUAAUGAGUAACGAUAAAAUAAUUUUUGUAAUCGCCAUCUACUCAGAGAACUGGCUUCACCAUAGACGUGAAUGGAAAGAGAUGCCUUGCCUCUAUACAUUCACAUUACAAUAGUGAGAAAUACAGCAUUGAAAAUGGAGAUAGCUAUCCCCUAGCAAGAUGUUCUCAGUUUAUUAAAGUGAAAAAUGCUGCACAAAGUUAAUAGCUGAUUUUAAGGUAAGUAGUGAGUAUAAACUUUAGGUUUUAAAUACUGUAGGCAUAUUAAUUCCGGUCAUGUAGAAGCAUAAUGAACUUCAUGGCUUUUUACUGUAUCAAAGAUUUUUAAUCACAGCACAAUGUUACCCCCCCCCAAAAAAAGUCCUUAUCUUGAUCUACCCAGAGAACUCCCAUUAAUUUUAAUUGGAGAUGCGCAUGCAGAUUACAGGGGUAAGAGGAUUUCAUUGUACUCAUUCUUUCCGCUGAGACAAUCUGCAAAGCGAAGUUAAUAUUGAAGUUAGGAUAAAACAGAAAGUUUCAAAAGUGGGGAAUGUGUUAUUUAAAAUAUAUUGGAUUUUCCCAAAACUGUGACUACAGUUUCAUUUUUAUUAGAUAUGUGUCCAAAUAAUAGUCCUUAAACUGAAGCUCUAAAGUCCAGACUAAAGAAUACAGAGCUAAUUUUGACAAAAAUGCUUUAUAUUAAAGAUUGUAUUGGUAGUAGUGUAAAUGACUGAAAACAAAUCAGUGCAUGGUUAUUAAUUACUGUACAAAAAAUCUUGCCAUUUGGUAUGCUCAUACUAGCACUAGAGCACUGAACCUAACUCUUUUAUCUUCAGCUUUUUAUCCCACAAGACUUCACUUUGAUAUGAUUGAACUGUAAUAUAUUUUUAAAGAAGACCUAUCAAGUAUGCCUGGCUUUGUUUUUUCUUAGCUGUAACAAAAAAGUGUUUUGUUGUGAAAAUAUAUAUAUUUUCCAAAGAUGACUGAUAUUCAUCAUUCUGCCCUUCACUACCAUUUAUUUCACUUCA
Calidris pugnax (ruff) is the source of this 4700-nucleotide long non-coding RNA. RefSeq lists it as uncharacterized. NCBI's taxonomy places the organism in Eukaryota, Metazoa, Chordata, Aves, Charadriiformes, Scolopacidae. The transcript is spliced from 3 exons. The record is from RefSeq and is a predicted model, not a curated record.